RNAcentral lists this long non-coding RNA (348 nucleotides) under Carica papaya (papaya). Its description in RNAcentral is "long non-coding RNA (CPAP_LNC001550)". The record is from RNAcentral. Lineage: Eukaryota; Viridiplantae; Streptophyta; Magnoliopsida; Brassicales; Caricaceae.
AAACUAUUUGUAAAUUUUUGAUAAGUUAAUUUGGUUGUAAUGUCUUCUUCAAGAACUCAAAUUUUAUUUUUCUAAACCACCUACCGUACGAUGUGAUACCAUGAAUGUCACGAUAUAUUUGUUUGUUUGUCAUGUGUUUAAUGAUAAAUGAAGAACAUAGAAUUGAAUUUUUUACUUUUUAAGGGAACAUGUUAUUGCUUAAAAACUAACUAUGCUUAUCAUUUCCAACCAAUAUAAUUAGGUAUGGAUUUUAUUCCCUAAACCAUAGCCUUAGAUGUCUAGUUUUGAUGGGAGUAGUAGAGUCCCAAUUGAAAUCAAUGUUGCAAAGGUUGAAGUGUUUCGAAAUCU